UGUUAAGCUUUAAUUUCUUUCCAGGCC
Molecule: non-coding RNA, 27 nt
Filed under: Mus musculus (house mouse)
Lineage: Eukaryota; Metazoa; Chordata; Mammalia; Rodentia; Muridae
Source: RNAcentral